CACACACUCAGUCAGUCAGUCAGCUCUAUAUCCGCGGUGUUUGACCGUAAUCCCGUCAUUUAUUUCCGGUGAACACUCGGACUUUAUCCCAUUUCAACUCCACAAAACUCAAGGCGACUUCAGAAGAAUGAACCAAUCACAGCCGACUAGCGUCAGGACGAACCAAUCACAGCCGGCUAGCGGCAGGAUGAACCAAUCACAGUCGGGAGGUGUUUGUAAUUUGAGUGUUUACACACGUUAAAUCGAAACUCGUCGUUAGAGUUUGUCCUGUGGUCAGACCACAUUUCUGAACUCUGAACCGAAGCUGACUUCUGUCUUAUUUAUCGUCUUCAGCUCAGCCUCCUUCUGAUGGAGAGUUUAUAAAGAGCAGCAGACUUCACUCUUCUCACAGUCAUGGACUUCUCUGCACAGGAAUAAAAUACUUUUAAGAGUAUCCAGAUCCAUGGGUGCCCAGGUUUCAGUCGUCAAUCAGACUCCUUACACCUGGUGCUUUGACACUCAGGACAAAAGAGGGUAUAAACGCAUCGCUCCUGGAUGCACAACAUCCUACGACGAGUCUCUGGCAAUCCAUCGCUACAUCUACAUCAGAUAUGAAAAUCACUCGUGGAAUAGUUUUUCAUACGAGUUUAACACCCAUAAAGGUGACACAUCUUUUAUCCUAAAAGAAGCCCUCGACCGUUCCCAGAUUCAGUUGCACUGCACCUCUGAAGGCGGCACUCGUUACUGUCCCAACUACAGAAGAAUUAAAGAAGAUGAAAACCGGAGACAGCAAGAGGAGGAGAGAAGACGUCUGGAACGGGAGUAAACAAGCACCCCCUGUUGUCCGUUGUAAUAUUUGUUGUUCUAGGGACAAAAAAAAAGUGUAGGUUCUCUUGCAGCUGGUCUGCAACCACAUGUAAGAAAUCUUGGGUAACAUUUGAUUUGUCACUAAACUUCACCAGCCAGUUUCAAAUCGGUUUUUAAAACCUCUUAACAGCAUUCACCAGCAAAGAUCACCAGCGGCCUCGGAUUAUUGCUGUUUCACAUUCACAGCAUAUUAAAACACACUAUUAUUUGAUCCGGAAAUACUGUGUGUCUUUAAAAAGAUGAAAAGUGUCGAAAGUUUUCAGAUUUUAUCCUGUUUAAUGUGUUUGUACUUUUUAUAUGCUUAAAGGAUUAGUUCACCCAAAAAUGAAAAUUCUGUCAUUAAUUACUCACCCUCAUGUCAUUCUAAACCCGUAAGACCUCUGUUCAUCUUCGAAACACAAAUUAAGAUAUUUUUGAUACAUUCUAACAGCUCUCUGAUCCUCCCAUAGACAGCAAUGUAAUUUCCACAAUCAAGGUCCAUCUGUGACACACAGAUAUGUUUGCUACGUUGUUUACGCAUUGAUUGGAAAGAAAACAAUGUAUCCGUGUGACACAGCUUACACAGAAUAUAAUACGCUGUUUGCGUUCAUUGGAUACUCUCCAAAAUGACACCAGGGUGACGUGGAGGAGACGAAUUGUUGAAUAAAGUUAUUUUUGUUUUCUUCGCGUACA
This is a long non-coding RNA of Cyprinus carpio (common carp), 1518 nucleotides long. NCBI's taxonomy places the organism in Eukaryota, Metazoa, Chordata, Actinopteri, Cypriniformes, Cyprinidae. The record is from Ensembl.